Molecule: ribosomal RNA, 280 nt
Filed under: uncultured bacterium
Lineage: Bacteria
Description: partial 16S ribosomal RNA
Rfam family: Bacterial small subunit ribosomal RNA
Source: RNAcentral
UGCCAGCAGCCGCGGUAAUACGGAGGGGGUUAGCGUUGUUCGGAAUUACUGGGCGUAAAGCGCACGUAGGCGGACUUCUAAGUUAGAGGUGAAAUCCCAGGGCUCAACCCUGGAACUGCCUUUAAUACUGGAAGUCUUGAGUUCGAAAGAGGUGAGUGGAAUUCCAAGUGUAGAGGUGAAAUUCGUAGAUAUUUGGAGGAACACCAGUGGCGAAGGCGGCUCACUGGACUCGAUACUGACGCUGAGGUACGAAAGUGUGGGGAGCAAACAGGAUUAGAUA